UGGCGGACGGGUGAGUAAUGUCUGGGAAACUGCCCGAUGGAGGGGGAUAACUACUGGAAACGGUAGCUAAUACCGCAUAACGUCGCAAGACCAAAGCGGGGGACCUUCGGGCCUCUUGCCAUCGGAUGUGCCCAGAUGGGAUUAGCUAGUAGGUGGGGUAACGGCUCACCUAGGCGACGAUCCCUAGCUGGUCUGAGAGGAUGACCAGCCACACUGGAACUGAGACACGGUCCAG
Molecule: ribosomal RNA, 235 nt
Filed under: uncultured bacterium
Lineage: Bacteria
Description: partial 16S ribosomal RNA
Rfam family: Bacterial small subunit ribosomal RNA
Source: RNAcentral